Molecule: ribosomal RNA, 591 nt
Filed under: Brettanomyces bruxellensis
Lineage: Eukaryota; Fungi; Ascomycota; Pichiomycetes; Pichiales; Pichiaceae
Description: eukaryotic LSU rRNA
Rfam family: Eukaryotic large subunit ribosomal RNA
Source: RNAcentral
GAGGAAAAGAAACCAACAGGGAUUGCCCCAGUAAUGGCGAAUGAAGCGGCAAGAGCCCAAAUUUGAAAUCGGGCAACCGAGUUGUAAUUUGGAGACGGGACACUAGAGAGGAGGAAGGCGAUUAAGUGCCUUGGAACAGGCUGCCGUAGAGGGUGAGAGCCCCGUGAAUCGCUGGAGACCGAUCAAUUAGUGCCCGCCGAAGAGUCGAGUUGUUUGGGAAUGCAGCUCUAAGUGGGUGGUAUAUUCCAUCUAAGGCUAAAUAUUAGCGAGAGACCGAUAGCAAACAAGUACAGUGAUGGAAAGAUGAAAAGAACUUUGGAAAGAGAGUGAAAUAGUACGUGAAAUUGUUGAAAGGGAAGGGUAUUUGAUCCGACAUGGUGUUUAGCAGCGGCCCGUUCCUCGUGGAUGGGUGCACCUGGUUUACACUGGGCCAGCAUCGGUUCUGGGAGCCAUAUACGGGGUUCGUGAAUGUGGCCCUUCGAUUCUGUCGGAGGGUGUUAUAGCGCGGACAUCUUGUGGCUAGCCGGGACCGGGGACUGCGGUGACUUGUCACCAAGGAUGCUGGCAGAACGAGCAAAUACCACCCGUCUU